CCUACGGGGGGCUGCAGUGGGGAAUAUUGGACAAUGGGGGCAACCCUGAUCCAGCCAUGCCGCGUGUGUGAAGAAGGCCCUCGGGUUGUAAAGCACUUUCAGUGAGGAAGAACGCCUGGUGGUUAAUACCCAUCAGGAAAGACAUCACUCACAGAAGAAGCACCGGCUAACUCCGGUGCCAGCAGCCGCGGUAAUACGGAGGGUGCGAGCGUUAAUCGGAAUUACUGGGCGUAAAGCGCGCGUAGGUGGCUUGAUAAGCCGGUUGUGAAAGCCCCGGGCUCAACCUGGGAACGGCAUCCGGAACUGGCAAGCUAGGGGGGAGGAGAAGAAGGUAAGAAUCCCGGGGGAGCGGGGAAAAGGGGAGAGGUCGGGAGGAAUUACAGUGGCGAAAGGGGCCUUCCGGACUGACACUUGCACUGGGGUGGGGAAGGGUGGGUAGCAAACAGGAUUAGAUACCCUAGUAGUC
This 466-nucleotide ribosomal RNA is filed under the name Vreelandella stevensii. RNAcentral's name for it is "partial 16S ribosomal RNA". It matches the Rfam family "Bacterial small subunit ribosomal RNA", at positions 338 to 795 of the family's 1533-position model. The record is from RNAcentral. Lineage: Bacteria; Pseudomonadati; Pseudomonadota; Gammaproteobacteria; Oceanospirillales; Halomonadaceae.